This 448-nucleotide ribosomal RNA is filed under the name uncultured bacterium. Its description in RNAcentral is "partial 16S ribosomal RNA". It matches the Rfam family "Bacterial small subunit ribosomal RNA", at positions 29 to 523 of the family's 1533-position model. The record is from RNAcentral.
AACGAACGCUGGCGGCGUGCCUAACACAUGCAAGUCGAACGGAUGUAGCAAUACAUUAGUGGCGCACGGGUGAGUAACGCGUGGGAAUCUGCCUUAUAGACGGGGAUAACACUGGGAAACUAGUGCUAAUACCGGAUACGCCCUUAGGGGGAAAGGUUUUCGCUAUAAGAUGAGCCCGCGUUGGAUUAGCUAGUUGGUGAGGUAAAGGCUCACCAAGGCGACGAUCCAUAGCUGGUCUGAGGAUGAUCAGCCACACUGGGACUGAGACACGGCCCAGACUCCUACGGGAGGUAGCAGUGGGGAAUAUUGGACAAUGGGGGCAACCCUGAUCCAGCAACGCCGCGUGGAUGAUGAAGGUCUUCGGAUUGUAAAGUCCUUUUGGCGGGGACGAUGAUGACGGUACCCGCAGAAUAAGCUCCGGCUAACUUCGUGCCAGCCGCCGCAGUAA